GAUGCCCUGGCAGUCAGAGGCGAUGAAGGACGUGCUAAUCUGCGAUAAGCGCCGGUAAGGUGAUAUGAACCGUUAUAACCGGCGAUUUCCGAAUGGGGAAACCCAGUGUGAUUCGUCACACUAUCAUUAACUGAAUCCAUAGGUUAAUGAGGCGAACCGGGGGAACUGAAACAUCUAAGUACCCCGAGGAAAAGAAAUCAACCGAGAUUCCCCCAGUAGCGGCGAGCGAACGGGGAGGAGCCCAGAGCCUGAAUCAGCAUGUGUGUUAGUGGAAGCGUCUGGAAAGGCGCGCGAUACAGGGUGACAGCCCCGUACACAAAAGCGCAUGUGCUGUGAGCUCGAUGAGUAGGGCGGGACACGUGGUAUCCUGUCUGAAUAUGGGGGGACCAUCCUCCAAGGCUAAAUACUCCUGACUGACCGAUAGUGAACCAGUACCGUGAGGGAAAGGCGAAAAGAACCCCGGCGAGGGGAGUGAAAAAGAACCUGAAACCGUGUACGUACAAGCAGUGGGAGCACAGGUUUACCUGUGUGACUGCGUACCUUUUGUAUAAUGGGUCAGCGACUUAUAUUCUGUAG
Molecule: ribosomal RNA, 576 nt
Filed under: Salmonella enterica subsp. enterica serovar Typhimurium
Lineage: Bacteria; Pseudomonadati; Pseudomonadota; Gammaproteobacteria; Enterobacterales; Enterobacteriaceae
Description: bacterial LSU rRNA
Rfam family: Bacterial large subunit ribosomal RNA
Source: RNAcentral